This is an RNA transcript of Carassius gibelio (silver crucian carp), 3934 nucleotides long. RefSeq lists it as uncharacterized. The record is from RefSeq and is a predicted model, not a curated record. NCBI's taxonomy places the organism in Eukaryota, Metazoa, Chordata, Actinopteri, Cypriniformes, Cyprinidae. The transcript has 8 exons.
ACAGUCACAUAAUCAACACAGGACAGACGGCUCGCGCGGGGCCGUGCACGCGCUGCACAUUGAUAAGAAAACCGCAAGAACACGAGUUAGAUUUAGGCUAAUUUACAUUAAUGUCGCUUUUAUUACAGACAAUGUACCCUCGCGUAGCCUACUACACAUGGACCGUCUGAAAUCGGAAAGGCUUUUUAAUAUAUAACAGUUUUUAUGCUUUAUCAACGGUGGAGUGGAGUUAAUAAGUGAGGAGUUCAUACCAAAACAAAAGGACCGCACGCGCAUCACUUUAUUUUAAAAUUACUCUUAAAUUUGUAUUUUUUAUAUAAAGCAUGUUUGACUUUUAAGACAUUUUAUGUAAUCUGAAUUUCUUUUUUUUUUUAAUUGCCAUGCCUGAACAGGUACUUUAGAUUACCGUUCUUUCAGACAGGCUAAUAUUAAGAGAAUUCUUUAUUGGUCUGAACCAUGCAAAUGAAUGAUUAAAUAAGCGCCAUCUGAGGAAUCCGGGAUUUCGGUGCUUCGCCUGGAAACAAACCUCUUCGCUUUAAUCCGCGAACUGCCCUUCAAAGGACUUCAAAUGGGCCACUUGCUCCUCAGAAGAGAGACUCAUUCUGCCGUGGAGGGCAAUUUGAAUGUUUGCGCACUGAGAGGAAUGUCGAGCCUGCAGAGCCGCUGAGGGACUCAAACUGCUGCUUAAUUAACCCGAUAUUUACUCGCGACUCGGAGCCCAGUGGUGAGGGUCUGCUGCGCGUCUCUCUAAAUGCGCGCUGCCCCGUGGAGCCCCGCAGCGGCACGGCAGCAAGAUGAGAUCGCGGAUCCCGCUUCUUCUCGCGGUACUUGCGGCGACGUGUCUGCGGUUUGGCAAUGCGGAGGCUGAUCCUCUUCCGGCCGCUGUGGUGGAGUUGGUGAAGGGUGGCUCUGUGUCUUCUAUUCAGGACUUGCAGUUUUUGCUGUUCUCUGAAUCUAUAGAGAUUGAGCCAGACAGUCACAAUGACAACGACACCAGCAACCGUCUGCCACGCAGUCUUCUGGACGCUCAGCCUGCUCAGCAAGCCAUCUGUAAGCUCAGGACAGAGGUCAUUGAGGUCACUCGCUCCAUGUUGGACCGUAGCAAUGCAGAUUUCCUGUUGUGGCCUCCGUGCGUGGAGGUGCAGAGGUGCUCGGGCUGCUGUAACACCAAGAGCCUGCAGUGUGUGCCUGUACUUACACACACACGAUACCUACAGGUGAUGAAGAUACAGUACGUGAACAAGCGGCCGCUCUAUGAUAAGGCUGUCGUCUCCGUUCUCGACCACGUAGAGUGCCGCUGUCAGCCGGCUCCUCGGCCCCCUCAACGCCGGAAGUCAUCCGGCCACAGACAAGAAGGACGGGAACGCUCAGGGAAACCUCGACCCAAAGAUGAGCUCCACCGCAGGGAUGAACUCAAACACAACCAGAGGAUAAGCCUGGAGGACCUGCUCAGCCACAGCUGGCUGCCCAAAGAGAGGUUCUCUGAAUCAGGAUUCGGCCGGGACGGCUGGGGUCUGAACGAGACGCAGUAUGGAGGGGGCAAAGGUCAUAACCGUCACCCUGGGGAUGGAAGGAGACAUGGCAAAAUGAAUGACACUGCAACACAGGGAACGACGGCUUCUCUGCCAAAUCAUACCGAGCAGGAAGAAACUGAUUUAUCAUUGCACAACGUUACGCAAUUCGAAUCGCAGAGUAAUGCUAACCGAAGUAUAACAAAUCAGACAUCAGAUUAUAACAUCAGUACAUUGGAAUCGAUCAAUCAUACUUUUAUGCACCAAUCAAAUCUAACGCAAGAAAACAAACAUUUGCAAACAACCAAUCAGACAGACCAAAUCACCUCUAAGGCCACUGGGACAGCCAAUCAGAAUCGAGGAGAUGUGUUUCUGUCUGUAGAGGAUAAUGGUCAGAAUGUGAAAGGUGAGACAGCGGACGUAGAGGUGAAAAGGGAAGAGCUAGAGCAGAGACAAAUGGGCAAAAAGGACAAGGAGGAGAAAAUGGAAGAACUGCUGGAAAUGCACAAAAUCCUGGAUGAAGAAAAACACAAUCAUCACCUCAAAGCUCAACAGAAGAAUACACAGCAGCUCCAUCACAAUCAAGAACACACUUAUACAACCGCACAACGCACAGGUACUGCAUCUCCUCCUGUGCAACAUCUCCCUCCACACAACGCCCCCAGACCAGCUCCUCACCCCCCGAAAAGGAGGAGAAAACAGCGCAAUCGCAUCAGCAAGUCUGCCAUGAGAGCCCUGCUCAUGUAAUACAAACAUACACAGUUUAUUUCUUCAUUGGAAACAAUUUUUGGAUUUGGAGUCAUUUACAUCACUUGCUCACCAAUAAAUCCUCUGCAGUGAAUGGGUGCCGUCAGAAGGACAGAAUGAUAAGUAAUCCACACAAUUACAGUCCAUCAAUUCAUGUCUUGUGGAUCAAAAAGCUAUGUGUUUGAAAUAAACAAGCUUAUCAUUAAGACGUUUUUAACCUCAAACCAUUGCUUUGAGCUAAAAUACAAGUCCUCUAUCCAUAAUAUACUUUUCUCAAGUGAGAAGUCAUCUUAUCUGAAUGAAGAGAAAAAUAUGCAGAGAUCAAGCACCGUUGGUCAAAGAAUUUUGAUGUGAGAGGACAACAGGGAAUAGACUUUUUCACUGGAGGAAGCAUAAAUAUGGAUAAUGGAUUGGCAUUUUGGCUAGAAAUUACAGUUCAAGUGUGUUAAUGAUGAAUUUGUUUCUUUCAAACACUUUCAAACAGUUUGUUUAUUAUUAGAUUUUAACUUCACACGACAUUCAUUGAUGGCCUAGAGCAGUGUGGAUCAUUGUGAUGUUUUUAUCAGCUGUUCGGACUCUGAUUCUGACGGCACCCAUUCACUGCAGAGGAUAUAUUGAUAAUCAGAUGAAUGCAAUCUCUCCCAAAUGAGUUCUUAUUUAUGAAGCAGCGUGUCCUGCGACAUUAAGAGAUAUGGCACUAUUCACUUUUCAAAAACAAACAAACAAAAACACUUCUAAUUUUGUUGUCUGCUCAAAGUCAUGAGGAAAAAGACAAUUCUGACACAGAAGAUGUUCGGAUGGAGGAUUGUUUGAGACUCUCUUCUGGGUUCAUGCGUUGGAUUUGGGAAUAAUGUAAAUCUAGACGUUCAAAACAUCAGAAGCAUGAAACACCAUUUGAACCCUGGACAGAAGAAGUGAGUAAGAGCACAGAACUAGAAAAAGGUGGAAAAGAUUUUUAUGAUCACUCACCUUAAGAGACAAACUGGUAGUUGCUCCUGUGCAGAAUCUCACCUAUUAUUCUGAAUCACCAAAAAAAGCGGUUGCCAUUUGUUCGAGGCUUGAAUUUUUGUGAACCAGUGAACCAAUUUAUAAAUGAACCCUUUUCCCUGAUCCAGUAUUAUGAAAAAGAAAUCUUUUGAAAAGCACACUAUUUCCAGGGAUGUGAUCAAAACAUGUUAUUUUAUGUUAUUUUUCAAACUACAUGUUUUUACAAACACAGAGAACGCUUGAACAGCUUUGUAUUUUAAUGUAUUACCAGUCAAAAACACAAAGUACCAUUGCUAUAAGUUGUUUUAAGUAUAAUUUGUUAUUAUUUAAGUGAUUUUUAACACUGGAAAAAUUCACACAGGAUAAAGCAAGGGAAUGCAUUUCUGUCUCAAUUAAUUACUCAUACCUCUAAAAGUGCAAAGGUGCUACAUUAUAACACACAAAGUAAGAUUAUUCAUUAAUAUUAUUUAUUCUUUUGUAAGUCCAUUCUGUUCACAGCAGGGCCGGUGUUUUAUCAUAAUCUUACAAAACAUUUUCCAGAAGACCAAAAUGCAGAAUUUUUUGUAUGUCAUGUACAGAUGGUCUGUUUUGGGUCUUUACUAAAAAUUCCAGAUUGUGCAGAAUUUGCACUCUUUUUUUAUACAUAGAAUAAAAUUUUAACACUAACUAUAAAGGUGUAAUUCAUCAUC